RNAcentral lists this ribosomal RNA (874 nucleotides) under Femsjonia peziziformis. Its description in RNAcentral is "partial large subunit ribosomal RNA". It matches the Rfam family "Eukaryotic large subunit ribosomal RNA", at positions 44 to 960 of the family's 3401-position model. Lineage: Eukaryota; Fungi; Basidiomycota; Dacrymycetes; Dacrymycetales; Dacrymycetaceae. The record is from RNAcentral.
GAAUAAGCGGAGGAAAAGAAACUAACAAGGAUUCCCCUAGUAACUGCGAGUGAAGCGGGAAAAGCUCAAAUUUGUAAUCCCUAACGGGAGUUGUAAUCUAGAGAAGUGUUUUCGGUCGUUGCCUCGGACAAGUCCCUUGGAACAGGGCGUCAUAGAGGGUGAGAAUCCCGUCCUUGCCGAGCUACCAACGUCUAUGUGAUGCACUCUCGAAGAGUCGAGUUGUUUGGGAAUGCAGCUCAAAAUGGGUGGUAAACUCCAUCUAAAGCUAAAUAUUGGCGAGAGACCGAUAGCGAACAAGUACCGUGAGGGAAAGAUGAAAAGCACUUUGGAAAGAGAGUUAAACAGUACGUGAAAUUGCUAAAAGGGAAGCGCUUGAAGUCAGUCGCGUCUAUGGAGACUCAGCCUCACGGUGUAUUUCUCUGUGGACGGGCCAACAUCAGUUUUGGCCGCGGGAAAAGGGCUUGAAGAAUGUGGCAACCUCGGUUGUGUUAUAGCUUCUUGUCGUACACCGCGGCUGGGACUGAGGACUGCUAUUACAGGAUGUUGGCGUAAUGGCUUUAAGCGACCCGUCUUGAAACACGGACCAAGGAGUCUAACAUGUCUGCGAGUGUUUGGGUGUCAAACCCAUGCGCGUAAUGAAAGUAAACGUAGGUCGGAGGCCUCGGCCGCACGAUCGACCGAUCCGGAUCUUUAGUGAUGGAUUUGAGUAAGAGCAUAUAUGUUGGGACCCGAAAGAUGGUGAACUAUGCCUGAAUAGGGCGAAGCCAGAGGAAACUCUGGUGGAGGCUCGUAGCGAUUCUGACGUGCAAAUCGAUCGUCAAAUUUGGGUAUAGGGGGCGAAAGACUAAUCGAACCAUCUAGUAGCUGGUCCUGC